This 300-nucleotide signal recognition particle RNA is filed under the name Saimiri boliviensis boliviensis (Bolivian squirrel monkey). RNAcentral describes it as "Metazoan signal recognition particle RNA (ENSSBOG00000013823.1)". It matches the Rfam family "Metazoan signal recognition particle RNA". Rfam says of the family: The signal recognition particle (SRP) is a universally conserved ribonucleoprotein. It is involved in the co-translational targeting of proteins to membranes. Lineage: Eukaryota; Metazoa; Chordata; Mammalia; Primates; Cebidae. The record is from RNAcentral.
GCCGGGCGCGGUGGCAAGUGCCUGUAGUCCCAGCUACUCGGGAGGCUGAGGUGGGAGGAUCGAUUGAGCCCAGGAGUUCUGGGCUGUAGUGCGCUAUGCCAAUCAGGUGUCCACACUAAGUUCGGCAUCAGUAUGGUGACCUCCCAGGAGCAGGGGACCACCAGGUUUCCUAAGGAGGGGUUAACUGGCCCAGGUCGGAAACCGAGCAGGUCAAAACUCUGGUGCUGAUCAGCAGUGGGAUCGCACCUGUAAAAUAGCCACUGCACUCCAGCCUGGGCAACACAGGGAGACCCGGUCUCU